AACGAACGCUGGCGGCAUGCCUAACACAUGCAAGUCGAACGAGACCUUCGGGUCUAGUGGCGCACGGGUGCGUAACGCGUGGGAACCUGCCUUUAGGUUCGGAAUAACUCAGAGAAAUUUGAGCUAAUACCGGAUGAUGUCUUCGGACCAAAGAUUUAUCGCCUUUAGAUGGGCCCGCGUUGGAUUAGCUAGUUGGUGGGGUAAAGGCCUACCAAGGCGACGAUCCAUAGCUGGUCUGAGAGGAUGAUCAGCCACACUGGGACUGAGACACGGCCCAGACUCCUGCGGGAGGCAGCGGUGGGGAUUAUUGAACAAGGGCCAGAAGCAUGAUCCAGCAAUGCGUGGUGGUGGAUGAGGGCCUUGGGGUUGAAAGCCUCUUUACCCGAGAUGAUAAUGACAGUAUCGGGAGAAUAAGCUCCGGCUAACUCCGUG
Molecule: ribosomal RNA, 432 nt
Filed under: uncultured bacterium
Lineage: Bacteria
Description: partial 16S ribosomal RNA
Rfam family: Bacterial small subunit ribosomal RNA
Source: RNAcentral